Eupeodes corollae is the source of this 1086-nucleotide long non-coding RNA. RefSeq lists it as uncharacterized. NCBI's taxonomy places the organism in Eukaryota, Metazoa, Arthropoda, Insecta, Diptera, Syrphidae. The record is from RefSeq and is a predicted model, not a curated record. The transcript is spliced from 4 exons.
UCAAUCUACGCCGGCUUUGAUCAAGCUGCCGAUAGUCUAACGUUGGCAAUCUCCUGGUAAUAAUUGGACUUCUGCAUGGCAUCGAGAAAGACACAAUCCAAUUGCGUUAGUUGGAAUACGGGUCUUAUCGGUAAUCCUAGUGGCAAAACAAAACGAAAUAAACUAGGGUUGUCGGUCAUUUAGACAAAUUAGAGUCGUCAACAAUGCAUCAUGGUAAGAAAAUCUGAAUGUAGAGGACUUUGUUGCCAAUAUGGGAAAACACUUUCGAAUGGGAUUACUGCUCUCAAUAUCGUCAGUCCAGUCGUGACUUAAUAGUGCAGCUAGAAUGAGCUUUACCGAAUUCACAUAACAAAUUUUCCAGGGUUAUGACUUGUUGCAUUUGCUUCAGAAAUACAAUUGUCGCUUUCAAAUGGGAGGCAGUGAACAAAUGGGUAACUUAAUGACUGGCCACGAACUAUCAGCAGAGUAGAAAAAAAGAAAUCAGUAUUUGGAUUGGCACUUCCAAUAGUGAUCAACGAAGGAGAAGACAAGUUCGGAAAAUCUGCUGGCAAUGGUAUUUGGCUGGACGAAGAAAAAAGUCGCCAUUUGUUCUUUAUCAGUUCUUUUUGAAAAUGCCAGAUUCUGAAGUCGAGAAGCUUCUCAUGUUGUUCACUUUUAUCCCACAAAGAAGAAAUUGCAUUUCUCAUUGAAGAACACAAAAAAUUACCAGAGAAGAGAAAAGCACAAAGAAGAUGUGACGCUUCAAGUCUAUGGAGAGGUAUGUCUAAAACAAGACGAAAAAGUCACAGCGGCGCUCUAUAAGGGAAAUGUUGAAGGACUAGGUGAACUGAAUUACAACGAAAUCCCAUCGUUGAGAUUUUUUCGGAGCCUGAACUAUCCAUUCUUGAUCUGGCACUAAAAGCUAAAUGUUUUACAACUGAAACUGAUGCGAUCAGAAUCAUCACAACUGGAGGGUUCUAUAUCAAUCAAAAGUAAAUGUAGUUUAUGUGUUCCGUUCCCAUUUUCAUAUGUUUUGUAUUUUAUUUAUUUAUUACAUCAAUUAGAGUUAAGAGUAUACUCAAAUAGACUAAUGAAUAUGACAAGUUU